This 253-nucleotide ribosomal RNA is filed under the name uncultured bacterium. RNAcentral describes it as "partial 16S ribosomal RNA". It matches the Rfam family "Bacterial small subunit ribosomal RNA", at positions 524 to 776 of the family's 1533-position model. The record is from RNAcentral.
UACGAAGGAGGCGAGCGUUGUUCGGAUUUACUGGGCGUAAAGGGCGCGCAGGCGGCUAUCCAAGUCAGGCGUGAAAGCCCCGGGCUUAACCUGGGAGGUGCGUCUGGGACUGGGUGGCUAGAGUUCGGGAGAGGAGAGUGGAAUUCCCAGUGUAGAGGUGAAAUUCGUAGAUAUUGGGAAGAACACCGGUGGCGAAGGCGGCUCUCUGGACCGAGACUGACGCUGAGGCGCGAAAGCGUGGGGAGCAAACAGG